GCAAAAUUUAUGUAUACUUUGAACUACCGUUCAAACUAUGAAUUCAAAGAUGACAAGAGACAGAUGAAAAGCCAAAGAGGUUCGGCCAUGAAAUCAAGUCCUGUAAGGCUACUGAAAAGAACAGGGCUAGAAGGUUGGCUGGUGAAAAGUGCCUUCUUUGAAGGGACUGACUUCUACCUUCUGAGGUAGUUCUCAUUCAAACCCCUCAUCAACUGUUUGGAAUCUUACUGCCAAGAUCAGAAAAAGUUCCUGGGACUAACUGGAACUCAUACGUAGCAUUGAAAAACCAAUCAAAUAAAAGGUAGAGGAAACCUUCUUUGUGUUGUGAAAUGCAGAGAAGCCAGAGGAAAGGAAUCAGAAAUAGCUUUUUGACACCACCACAAAAGAAAGCUGAGACCUCCACUCGUGUGGCAGCUGAAGACUCUAAGACAUGUAAAACAGCUUGUGGCAACAGCCUGAAAGUGUCUUGCAAUAUCGUGUCCUCAUUUUGCCUGGGCAGAUGAUGAAACCACAUAGCACUAACUCGGCAGCUCACAGCAGGCAUUGUGCUACAGCUCCACAGGCUGUCAUUACGUGGGCUGCUGCCUCCUGCCUCUGCUGCCUACAUCCCCAGGGCUGCGUACAGGGCGCAGGAAAGGGUACAAACUUUCAGCUGGUGUAAAAUGGCAGAGCCCCACCAGAUUCCCUGAGACUUCAUUGAUUUACAGCAGCUGAAACUAUGGCCCCUGCUAUGCUUAAAGUCUGAGACAGGCUUUCAUUGGACACAAAAGAAUACGCUUUGGGACGCUUUGAAACCUGUGCUGUGCGCAAGCAAGGAGCUAAACGAUUCCCAAGAUUUUCUGUGAGCCAUGUACAAGCACACACUGUGCACUGAGUGCAAGCAGGCUUCACCAGACACACAGACACAGAAUACGCUCCCUGGGAUGUGCCAGGGUGAAGAAGAGUUUUCUAAGUCACUUCAUUUUUACUGGAAACCCUGCUCCAGUCCUCUCACAUACAACGCCGUGUGCACUCCUCGUAACCAGCAUUGUCUGAACUUGUGGUAUUUUAAUAAACCUUCCUGCCAAGCCAAGGACGCUCUAAGACACAUCACCUUUGUCCAGAGGAGGAUCCCAGCUGCAGCGAAGUCCAGAGAGUGUGAGCUCUGCUACAAACCAACACAUAGCAGCCCUGACCAGAUCUGAGCCUCUCUGCAUGAGGAAGCAAGCAGAUCCCGUGGCCCAAGACGAAAUGAUGCUGUGACCCCUCUCCUUCACAUUGUCAGGCAGCUUUUAGGAAGAGGUGGGAGCUCUGAAAGGCUGGGGAACAACUUUGCCUUCCCCUUCUGCACUCUCACACACAUAUACACAGUUCUGAAGAUGUAAAGCCACAAAAACAGUGGGCUGUUCCCAUUGGAAGAGAAUAUAUCAAAGUAAAGUAAGCACCUGAAAACUUACUCUCUCAAAGAGGAUAAAUAUAAGUACAGGCAACUGCUGAUGCUGUGGGCAGGCAUCAAGCUGAUAAAACCCAGCUUAAGAGGGGCUGAAGAGCCUGCAGCUUCCCCUGACUCCCAUAGGGCUUGAAGGUGCUCUGGGAAAUCUGCAGUCAUGUUUCAGUCCCACAAAAAGCCCAUGUUUUAAUAUGAAACCUACUGACAGCAACAGCACUGGAUUUGGGAUUAGAGAUUUGGGAUUGCACCUUCAGUGUUUUGCACAGAAAGUAUAUAUUUUUCUGUCUUUUAAAAGGGGUGAGGAGGGGGAAAAAAAAAAGUAUUAAAAUAUGUAUUCACUUUAGAAUGCUCUUAAGCUCAUAGGGCACCUUGGGAGAAGGCAGGAAGGUAGCAGAGGAUGAAGGACUAGCAAAAAAGAAGCCUGGGUGUGUCACAGGGGAAGGGAAAGGUUGUAGGAGGAAGCGUGGGAGGCAAUGCAGACAAGCUUACUAAAUUGCAGGGCAAAACGUGGAUUUUGUCCCCAAGCAAAACACCUCGGUAGUGCUGUCAGGUCAAGCUAAUAAAGAGAGCUCUUCAGAGACUCCGACGUCUGUC
Long non-coding RNA from Cyanistes caeruleus (blue tit), 2023 nucleotides. Lineage: Eukaryota; Metazoa; Chordata; Aves; Passeriformes; Paridae. The record is from Ensembl.